Molecule: ribosomal RNA, 492 nt
Filed under: uncultured bacterium
Lineage: Bacteria
Description: partial 16S ribosomal RNA
Rfam family: Bacterial small subunit ribosomal RNA
Source: RNAcentral
AGUGAACGCUGGCGGUAGGCCUAACACAUGCAAGUCGAACGGCAGCACAGUAAGAGCUUGCUCUUACGGGUGGCGAGUGGCGGACGGGUGAGGAAUACAUCGGAAUCUACUUUUUCGUGGGGGAUAACGUAGGGAAACUUACGCUAAUACCGCAUACGACCUACGGGUGAAAGCAGGGGAUCUUCGGACUUUGCGCGAUUGAAUGAGCCGAUGUCGGAUUAGCUAGUUGGCGGGGUAAAGGCCCACCAAGGUGACGAUCCGUAGCUGGUCUGAGAGGAUGAUCAGCCACACUGGAACUGAGACACGGUCCAGACUCCUACGGGAGGCAGCAGUGGGGAAUAUUGGACAAUGGGCGCAAGCCUGAUCCAGCCAUACCGCGUGGGUGAAGAAGGCCUUCGGGUUGUAAAGCCCUUUUGUUGGGAAAGAAAAGCAGCAGGUUAAUACCCCGCUGUUCUGACGGUACCCAAAGAAUAAGCACCGGCUAACUUCGUG